GGUGAAAUGCGUAGAUAUAUGGAAGGAACACCAGUGGCGAAGGCGGCUACCUGGACCAACACUGACAUCUGAGGUGCGAAAGCGUGGGGAGCAAACAGGAUUAGAUAUCCCUGGUAGUCCACGCCGUAAACGAUGUCUACUAGCCGUUGGGACUCUUGAAGUCUUAGUGGCGCAGCUAACGCACUAAGUAGACCGCCUGGGGAGUACGGCCGCAAGGUUAAAACUCAAAUGAAUUGACGGGGGCCCGCACAAGCGGUGGAGCAUGUGGUUUAAUUCGACGCAACGCGAAGAACCUUACCUGGCCUUGACAUGCAGAGAACUUUCCAGAGAUGGAUUGGUGCCUUCGGGAACUCUGACACAGGUGCUGCAUGGCCGUCGUCAGCUCGUGUCGUGAGAUGUUGGGUUAAGUCCCGUAACGAGCGCAACCCCUAUCCCUAGUUGCUAGCAGUUCGGCUGAGAACUCUAGGGAGACUGCCGGUGACAAACCGGAGGAAGGUGGGGAUGACGUCAGGUCAUCAUGGCCCUUACGGCCAGGGCUACACACGUGCUACAAUGGUGCGCACAGAGGGCUGCAAACCCGCGAGGGGGAGCCAAUCUCACAAAACGCAUCGUAGUCCGGAUCGCAGUCUGCAACUCGACUGCGUGAAGUCGGAAUCGCUAGUAAUCGUGAAUCAGAAUGUCACGGUGAAUACGUUCCCAGGCCUUGUACACACCGCCCG
Molecule: ribosomal RNA, 719 nt
Filed under: uncultured bacterium
Lineage: Bacteria
Description: bacterial SSU rRNA
Rfam family: Bacterial small subunit ribosomal RNA
Source: RNAcentral